UACAGAGGGUGCAAGCGUUAAUCGGAAUUAUUGGGCGUAAAGCGCGCGUAGGUGGAUUGAUAAGUUGGAUGUGAAAUCCCUGGGCUUAACCUGGGAAUUGCAUUCAAGACUGUUUUUCUAGAGUACAGUAGAGGGAAGUGGAAUUUCCGGUGUAGCGGUGAAAUGCGUAGAUAUCGGAAAGAACAUCAGUGGCGAAGGCGACUUCCUGGAUUGAUACUGACACUGAGGUGCGAAAGCGUGGGGAGCAAACAGG
Molecule: ribosomal RNA, 253 nt
Filed under: uncultured bacterium
Lineage: Bacteria
Description: partial 16S ribosomal RNA
Rfam family: Bacterial small subunit ribosomal RNA
Source: RNAcentral